GGAAUUUCUUAAUGCUCCGCACGAUACCCAAGAACAGACAAACAGGAGGUUUGUCUGAGGAGCCUCUGAGCCAGGAUGGCGAAUAGGCUCCGCUUCCGUAAACAGCCGGUAACCUUUUACGGAGUAUUUAGAAAUUCCUCUUUUCGGAG
RNAcentral lists this non-coding RNA (149 nucleotides) under human gut metagenome. The record is from RNAcentral.